RNAcentral lists this small RNA (631 nucleotides) under Cryptococcus neoformans H99. RNAcentral describes it as "Cryptococcus neoformans var. grubii H99 hypothetical RNA". The record is from RNAcentral. Lineage: Eukaryota; Fungi; Basidiomycota; Tremellomycetes; Tremellales; Cryptococcaceae.
UUGCCCUUUAUUCAUCGACGCAAACUGAUAAAGACACCAAGAACGUAGCAUCCCAAACUAUUUUAUUCGCACUCACUAUUAUUAUUUGAUUAACUUUGAAGCUUUACCACACUUUAAUUUAAAAUCUAAGUGAGAUAAUGUCUAAUGCCGAAUUGAUGGGGGAAUGAUGAUGGGGGCUAAAAGAGCUUCAUUCACACCAAUGUCAAUUCCUGUAAAGCACCAACAGUAUACCGAUCAGGCAUGUGCCGGAGGCGGAAAUCAAAUCUAUCGCUCGACUGUCUCUAAAAGGUUCCAAAUUAGGACAAAGAAAGGUCCCGGGUCUCAAGGCAACAGUGGAUGAGGUCCUCCAUCCAUAGUUAGACAUCAAACAGAUCCCCCCAUCUCCCCACUUCCCCCGCUGCGCUUUUUAUCCAACUUUCAUCCCACCAACCUCUCACAAAUCCGUAACUGUCCACAUACAUCCUUGCGACCUCCCCAAACACCUUCUUCAUUUUCGCCACGUACUGCCUUGCGGAUUUGACCAAUUCUUCAACUUUUCUUUUGUCUGAGGAAGACAACGGGUCUUGGAGAAAGGGGAGUAUAGAGUCGAGCAGGGCACCAAAAGCGAGAAUGUAUGAUUGAGCGAUUUUCC